AGAGAGAGACAUGCGCGCAUAUCAAUAAGCGGAGGAAAAGAAACUGACAAGGAUUCCCUUAGUAACGGCGAGUGAAGCGGGAAGAGCUCAAAUUUGAAAUCUUCAAGGUUCUACCUUGACGAAUUGUAGUUUAUAGAAGUGUUUUCUGUUAGUGGAGUGGCAAAAGUUCUUUGGAAUAGGACAUCAUAGAGGGUGAGAAUCCCGUAUUUGGUCAUUCCUCCUAGCGUUGUGAUACACUUUCAACGAGUCGGAUCGUUUGGGAAUGCAGUCCAAAAUGGGUGGUAAAUUUCAUCUAAAGCUAAAUAUUGGCGAGAGACCGAUAGCGAACAAGUACCGUGAGGGAAAGAUGAAAAGAACUUUGAAAAGAGAGUUAAACAGUACGUGAAAUUGUCAAAAGGGAAGCGUUUGACACCAGUGUUGUUUUUCCGAAAAUCAAUUACGAAUGUUUUGUUUUUAAGGAGUUAUGACUUCAUCAGGCUUGCUUCUUUCUUUACGAAACUUUCUUAAUGCACUUUUCGGUUAACAAGUCAACAUCAAUUUCUUUUGUUGUAAAAGGGUAUGAGGAAGGUGGCUUUCUCUUCGGCGCAAGUGUUUAUAGCCUUGUAGCCUCUGCAAUCGGAGAGAUUGAGGUCUGCAGCGUAGAUCCUUCGGGGUUAGAUACAUUUGUGCUAAGUUAUAGCUUUUCAUAGACAACUUGUUGACUAUGUUUAGUCUUGUAGCUUACUCGCUUAUGCUAUUUUACCUACGCUUAGGAUGUUGAUCUGUAGUGCGUGCGC
Molecule: ribosomal RNA, 776 nt
Filed under: uncultured Neocallimastigales
Lineage: Eukaryota; Fungi; Neocallimastigomycota; Neocallimastigomycetes; Neocallimastigales
Description: partial large subunit ribosomal RNA
Rfam family: Eukaryotic large subunit ribosomal RNA
Source: RNAcentral